GACGAACGCUGGCGGCGUGCUUAACACAUGCAAGUCGAACGGUGAAGCGCCUUCCUUUUUGGUGGGUGUGGAUGAGUGGCGAACGGGUGAGUAACACGUGAGUAACCUGCCCCCUUCUUCUGGAUAACCGCAUGAAAGUGUGGCUAAUACGGGAUAUUCUGGUUCUGUCGCAUGAUGGGUCUGGGAAAGAUAUUGUUUCGGUGGGGGAUGGGCUCGCGGCCUAUCAGCUUGUUGGUGGGGUGAUGGCCUACCAAGGCGGGGACGGGUAGCCGGCCUGAGAGGGUGACCGGCCACAGUGGGACUGAGAUACGGCCCAGACUGCUGAGGGAGGCAGCAGUGGGGAAGAGUGUGAAAGGGGCGGAAGCCUGAUGCAGCAACGCCGCGGGCGGGAUGACGGCCUUCGGGUUGUAAAACGGGUGCGCCUGUGACGAAGCGUGAGUGACGGUAAUGGGUAAAGAAGCACCGGCUAACUACGUG
RNAcentral lists this ribosomal RNA (477 nucleotides) under uncultured bacterium. RNAcentral describes it as "partial 16S ribosomal RNA". It matches the Rfam family "Bacterial small subunit ribosomal RNA", at positions 28 to 507 of the family's 1533-position model. The record is from RNAcentral.